This 484-nucleotide ribosomal RNA is filed under the name uncultured bacterium. RNAcentral's name for it is "partial 16S ribosomal RNA". It matches the Rfam family "Bacterial small subunit ribosomal RNA", at positions 30 to 507 of the family's 1533-position model. The record is from RNAcentral.
AUUGAACGCUGGCGGCAGGCCUAACACAUGCAAGUCGAGCGGAUGAAGGGAGCUUGCUCCUGGAUUCAGCGGCGGACGGGUGAGUAAUGCCUAGGAAUCUGCCUGGCAGUGGGGGAUAACGUCCGGAAACGGGCGCUAAUACCGCAUACGUCCUGAGGGAGAAAGUGGGGGAUCUUCGGACCUCACGCUAUCAGAUGAGCCUAGGUCGGAUUAGCUAGUUGGUGGGGUAAAGGCCUACCAAGGCGACGAUCCGUAACUGGUCUGAGAGGAUGAUCAGUCACACUGGAACUGAGACACGGUCCAGACUCCUACGGGAGGCAGCAGUGGGGAAUAUUGGACAAUGGGCGAAAGCCUGAUCCAGCCAUGCCGCGUGUGUGAAGAAGGUCUUCGGAUUGUAAAGCACUUUUAGUUGGGAGGAAGGGCAGUAAGUUAAUACCUGGCUGUUUUGACGGUACCAACAGAAUAAGCACCGGCUAACUUCGUG